CUGAGUGAGGGCUCACGCCCGACCUCCAACCCUUUGUGAACCGCAUCUUGUUGCUUCGGGGGUGACCCUGCCGUCCGCGGACGGGCACCCCCGGAGGUCAUUAAACACUGCAUCUUUGCGUCGGAGUUUAAAACCAAUUAAACA
RNAcentral lists this unclassified non-coding RNA (144 nucleotides) under soil metagenome. RNAcentral describes it as "partial internal transcribed spacer 1". The record is from RNAcentral.